AGGGCAGAGGUGCUGGAGAGAGGCCCCAGGCCCCUCCGCCACCGAGGAAGCAAAGAACCCCGUGAACCAAGUCGCCACUCGAGAUUUUACCCAGUGAGAACAUGUUUAGGACACUUUUCUACAGUGGAAGAAAAGCUUCUGUCUGCAGGUCCAAAGGCACCGUCCUGAGUUGGAAAAAGAUGAAUCAGACCCAGUCCCUCCCUGGAGUUGCUCAGAGGUCUGGAGGAGAAAGGCAUAGAGGUACGAUGUCUUCGUAUGCUCACCGUGCCCCAAAUUCGGUUUUCACUUGCAUCCGAGGGUACUGUCUGAGAGAAGGGCAAAAGCCAACAAGAAAAAAAAAAAAGCCUUCCCCAGCACUGGAGAUCUGGCCUCUUCACUUACAUGCUGUCUACAAAUGCACCAUUAUUCUUUCCCUAUCAAAUCGACUCCUUUAAUCUUUUCUACAGCCCUUUCAUCAUCCUUGUUGCUUGUCUCAACCACUUUUAAGUCUGCCAACAUCUUUCUGAUCCUUAAGUAAACAGGACAAAUCACUCUGCUGGGAGGCAUGAACUCUCUGCCCUACCUUGGCCUUCUGGAAGUAACGCUGAUUGAACAACAGACAUGCAGUGGGAGGCUGAGCUCCGUUUCUCAUGCCUGUGUGGAGAGCAACUGCGGAAGGGGCCAUGAUUGAUAUGGAGAGAACAGCUUGUGUGUAGGAGAGAUGUGUAUUUCACGAAGACUGUUCAACAUGAAAUUUACAGUCCCAUAAAGUGCUUCUACAUCUUCGCCAGAGAUCUAGUUAAAAGGACUUUACAGUCUGAAACAUCCUAAAAUUGAUUCUAAAUUAACAUUUCCUCACAUGUAUUUGAGAUAUUGAUGGGGCCCAGCUAUCAGAAUUUUAUUAGGAAGCAAUAAUCUGAGGCAUGCGGAGA
This 911-nucleotide long non-coding RNA is filed under the name Homo sapiens (human). RNAcentral describes it as "HSALNT0291907". Lineage: Eukaryota; Metazoa; Chordata; Mammalia; Primates; Hominidae. The record is from RNAcentral.